This 19827-nucleotide long non-coding RNA is filed under the name Durio zibethinus. RNAcentral describes it as "long non-coding RNA (DZIB_LNC001886)". Lineage: Eukaryota; Viridiplantae; Streptophyta; Magnoliopsida; Malvales; Malvaceae. The record is from RNAcentral.
AGUUCUUAUCGUAACCUUAUCUUGAAAUCUAGUACUCAAGCGCUAUAAAUUCAAUACUAUUGUUAAAGAGUUUCACCACACCAAGAAGCUAAGAAGAAUACCAGCAACAAAAGUAGAGAAGAGAAGAUGCAUCAACCUCACGGACCUCCUCAGCAUCAGGGUCCGCCUCCUCCCGGUUCCGAAGGACCUCCACCGGGAGGUCCGGGUCAUCAUGGACCUCCACCAGGUGGUCCGGGUCACCAUGGACCUCCAACAGGAGGUCCGGGUCACCAAGGACCUCCACCGGGUGGUCCAGGUCACCAAGGACCUGCACCAGGACACCAUGGACCUCCAUCGGGUGGGCCAGGUCACCAUGGUGGCCCCGGCGGCCAUGGCGGGCACUGCUAAACAGGUGCAUGGUUUGCUCGGGUUAUAUAAAAUGUUAGUUUGCUGUAACAAAAGGUCUUAGAGAGGAAUAAGGAUCAUUAAGUGAUUGAUCAGAUAAGAACUAUGCCCUUACAUUACUUGUAUCAUGUGUGUUUUGAGGUAUGCCGUGAAAAGUGGGAAGCCUGACUUGAUCUUUGUACUGAUGUUUUUGUAAGUUCUAUCUUGUAUGUGUGUUAAUCAAAUAAAUUAUAUAUGGGAGUAGUUUCAUAUCUAUGGCAAGGAAUCAAAUAGCGGUUCGAUACAACGAUAGUAAAAUUAGGGUAGCAUCGAUAUCCGCUAUCGUUAUUGAAUAAAACACGAUUGAUAUUUUAUUCAUAGUAAAAACAAAAAAUAACGAUUGUAAAAUAAUAACGUAAUUAUGAAUAACGAUAAUAACGGAUCAUUAUUGCUGUUAUUUUAUUUUUUUUUUACGAAUUUAAUAAUUCAAAAAAAUAAAAUUUUAAAUCUGAAGGUAGCACGAAGAAGAUGAACAGAAGAGAGUAAGUGCAUUUUUAGAAGGGUAUGCUAGAAAGAAUUAAACAAUUUGGGGAUAUUGGGCACGUGGGGAGAGAUUGGAUGGGGUGAGGAGGGAUUGAGUGUGGUGGGGCGUUAGGGGGAAGGUGGGGAGAGAUUGGGUGUGGUGGGGUGUUAGGAGGGUAUGAUUGAAUUUUUUAUUUAAUUUUGUAAUUAAUUUUUAAAAGUUUUUUACAUAAAAUUUAAUUAGUGGUUUUGAAAUUUUAUAAUUAAAAAAAAGAGAUUAAUAAUUUAAUAUAAUAUAAAUAGAGAUUUUAGAUGAAAUUUGAUAAAUUUUUUUGUAUAAAUUAGAUGAAAAUAAUUAAAAUUUAAAUAUUAUAUUUUGAUUGCGUUAUAUAUUAAUUUAUAAUUUUGUAUCUGAAUUUUAAUUUUUUUUUGUUGUUUUUGAUAUUUAUAUUAUUGUCAAUUCUUUUGAUAUUAGAUUAAUUCUUGUUAUUUUUGUGUAAUUAUUGAAGAUUGUGUUUAUUAUAUAAUUAUUGAAAGUUAUUUGUGAUAAAAAAAUUUAUAUCAAUUAGUGUAUCAAAAAGAUUAAAUUACUUAAUAAAUUUAGCAUUUUAUGAUCUAUUACUCUUAUUAAGAUUAAAACUAAAAAUAAAAAUAUAGGUUUGAAAAUUUUAUUAAAAUAUAAGUUUAAAAUUUUUUAAUUUUUGAAUUUUUUUAAGAUAAAAUCUAAUUAGAGGGAUUGAAGAUUUAUAAUUAAAAAAAUUAAGAGAUUAAUAAUUUAAUAUGAUAUAUAUAGAGAUUUUAGAUAAAUUUUUUUGUAUAAGUUAGACGAAAAUUAAUUAAAAUUAAAUAUUAUAUUUUGAUUGUAUUAGAUAUUAAUUUAUAAUUUUGUAUAUAAAAUUUAAUAAUUUUUUUAUUGUUUUGAUAUUUAUAUUGUUGUCAAUUCUUUUGAUAUUAGAUUAAUUCUUGUUAUUUUUGUGUAAUUAUUGAAGAUUGUAUUUAUUAUAUAAUUAUUGAAAGUUAUUUGUGAUAAAAAUUUUAUAUCAAUUAGUAUAUAAAAAAGAUUAAGUUAUUUAAUAAUAUUCUUAAGAUUAAAAACUAAAAAUUAAAAAAUUUAGUGUAAAAUCGGUUUUUAAUGAUGUAAUAAGUAAUAUUAAUAUUUUUAAAUAUAAGUUUAUUUUGUUUUUAUACAAAAUAGCAAGUAUGCCACCAUGUGAAGAGUUUUCGAGUACAUGAGUAGAGGGCGUGCCAAGUGAUGAUAUAGGUUGGUAUUUUGGAACACCUGUGCCAAAUACAAGAAUGAAUGUUUCAUGUAAAUUUUGUGGUAAAAUUGUAAAAUGAGGAAUAACAUGUUUCAAAGAAUACAUUGCUCAUAAAACUGACAAUGUUGCACCAUGCCCUAACGUUACUGGUAUAUUAUGUUUUUUUAAUUCCUUUGAAAAUAUUAUUGUUAAUUUCUUAAUAAAAAUUAUAAAAUUACAUAAGCAUGUGUAACUAAUUUUUUCUCUUUUUUUAAACUAUAUUAUUAAUAGAUAUAGUAAGAGAAAGUAUGAUGAAAUUUCUUCAAGAAAGUAAAUAAAAAAAAGCUGACAACAAAAGGAGAAAAAAUGAAUUUUUAUCACAGUUAAGAGGGGAAGAUGAUUAUGAAAGAUUUAUUGAUGAAGACAUCGCUAUUAGACAAGCCAUGCGAGAUAGCAUCCAAUCACAACAUGAGUGGCAUAGAAGAUAAAAAUUCAGACAAAGGACUAGUGGUUGGAGUAACAUAUAUGAAGAGGGACGAAGCUCUCAUGGCUCAGUUACUGAAUAUUUUGAAGAAAAAACAAAGAAAUCAACUAUAAAUGAGUCUGAAUUUUCAUUAAGGGGAGCUAUACCUGAAUUGGUUAGAAGUAAGAGUUCAAGGUAACCAAUAGUAAGUGAUUCAUUUUUAAAGACAUUAAAAAGAAAGAUGGGUGAAUCAGUAUCAAAAUUUUUUAUAUAUGAUUGAUUUUCUUUUCGGUUAGCAAAUUUUUCAUGGUUGCAUAAAUUGAUUUCUGUGACAGCAGAAGUUGGCCAACAUAUAAAACUUCAAAUACUUUAUGAGGUCUCAGAUGUGUAUUUAGAGUCUGAGUACACCUUAUGAGAUCUCAGAUAUGUAUUUAGAGUCUGAGUAUCAACAAGUUUAUAAAUGAGUUAAUGGAUUAAAAGCUUAUUGGAAUGAAUUGGAUGUCACUUUGAUGUGUGAUGGUUGGACCAAUAGUUUGAAUCAAAUGCAUAUCAUUAAUUUCCUUGUUUAUUGUAGUAAAGUGACCAUUUUUUGAAAAUCUGUAUAUGUCUUAAGUGUUCGUAGUAGAGAUACAAACUUUUACUACAGAUUAUUAGAUGAAGUUGUAGAAGAAAUUAAAGAAAAAUACAUUGUUCAAAUAGUCGCUGAUAACGAGGCAACACUUAAGGCUGCAGGAAAAAGACUAAUGAAGAAGAGAAAACAUUUAUAUUGGACAGCAUGUUCAACUUAUUGUUUGGACUUGUGCCUUGAAGAUAUUGAAAGGAAAAAAAUGUGGCAAAGGUUUUGGAUGAUGCAAAGAAAGUGACUUGUUUUAUAUAUAAUCACAUUUAGACUGUUAAUUUAAUGAAAAAAUAUGCAUAAGAGAAGCAAUACUUCAUCUUGCUCUUACCCGAUUUACCAUUCAUUUCAUAUAGUUAGAAGAAAUAAUGAAGUAAAAGCAAAGUUUGAGAGAGAUGUUCAAUUCAAAAGCUAGUACUUAGUAAUUAGUACAACUAUUUAAAUCUAACAUCUUUUUAUGAUAUGAUUGUUUAAAAUAUUUGUAGACACCCAAUUGGGUCCAGGCCCAGACCAAUUGGGCCUGGCCCAAAGGGGGUAAGCCCGAUGCAAUUUUUUCUUGUAUUAUUAUUAUUUUCUUUUUUCUUUUUCUUUUCUUCUUUUGUGUUUUAUUUAUUUUAUUAUUAUCAUUAUUAUGUACUAACAUAUGUAUAUAUUGAUUUAUUUAGUUAUUUAUUUUUUUGUUAAUAUUUAUAUGUAAUUUAUUUAUAUAGUUAUAUAUGUAUUAUUAUUAUAUUAUUAUUAUUAUUAUUUUAUAAUAUAUUUUUAGGUUUAUCUUAUUUUAUUUUUUAAAUUAUCUGUUAAUUUUAUCUGAUCCUUUUUGAUUAUCUGAUUUUUUUUCCUAUCUUUUCUAAUUAUCUAUCUUUUUAUUUUAUUUGAUUUUGGAGGGCUGGGAUUGAAAGUUGAAGAAUCCCACUGAGAGUGGGAAUUCAAUCAGAAGAAUCCAGACUGGAUUCAAAGAUUGAAUUCCCGUCCAAAGGAGAAUUGAGAUUGAUCAGAAACUCCUGAUCAAUCCCUAUAUAAAGCACCUCCUGGAACAGAAUGAAACACACAGAAAAGAGUAAGCAAAGCUACUGAUUUGAGAGAAAAGGAGGCGUAUAGGAAGCUAAGAAAAGUUUAUGAGUGUUCUGGGAGUGAGAAAAAUUUUUUAGAAAUUUUUGGCGAAAAUUUUUUUUGAAAAUUUCUGGGAAAUUUCCAGAUUCCGACGAAAAUUCUGGCGAAAUUUGAAUUUUUCGGCAACAAUUCCGGUGAACAUUGAAGUUUCCGGUGACCUGCCCAGUUUUCGACGAAGAAUCCCAGAAACCGGUGGUAUUCCGGCCAACUUCUGGCGAUAUUUCCAGAUUCUGACGUAAUUUUCCAGAAUCCGGCACCGUUGUUCUUCAGAUUUUAGAGAGAAGGGAGAGGAAAAGGGAAGAAGAGAGAGAGAGGGGAGGAGCGUUCUGCCGAAAAACGAAGGGGAUUGCCUUUUAUACCCUCCCAAAACGACGUCGUUUUGGCCUUAAGUAACCAGAGGAUCCGCGCGUUUUGCCGAACCCGACCCGACCCGAGCGUCCACCCGCUUUCCUGACCCGCGCGUGCUGCCCUUCUCCAAGUCGAGUCGAGCCGAGCCGAGCUUCCAAGCCGCUCCCCCGAGCCGUUUCUCUUCCUUGAGCCGAGCCGAGCCGAGCCACUCCAGGUUUUUUUUUUUUUUGAAUUUUUAUUUAUUUGUUUUAUCUUUAUUUAUUUUUAUUUAUUAGAUUAGAUUUAUUUAAUAUUUUUUUUCUUUCUCUUAUUUUUAUUUUUGUUUUACUUUUCUUUAAUUUUUUUAUUUUUAUUUAUUUUCACUUUUUUUUAUUAUUCUAUUUUCUUUAAAUAAAAAUCAAAAAAUUCCAAAAAAAAAUAUUUUUAGGGAAAAGUUGAAAGUAUCAAUUUUUCUUAAAAAUAAAUUUCCAAAAAAUAUUUUUGGGGAAAAGUUGAAAGUAUCAAUUUUCCUUGAAAAUCAAAUUUUCAAAAAAAAUAUUUUUGGCGAAAAGUUGAAAGUAUCAUUUUUCCUUAGAAAUAAAUUUUCAAAAAAAGGGUUUUUUUGAAGGUAUCAAUUUUCCUUGAAAAUCGAAAUUUCCAAAAAAUAUUUUUGGAAAAAAGUUGAAAGUAUCAAUUUUUCCUACAAAAAAAAAUCAUUAUUUCCUUCCUUUCUAUCUUAAUUUUGAUUUUAUUUUUUUUUUUUUAAAUAAUCCGACGACGGAGCCUCUGCAAGUGAAACAGUAGUUUUUCUUGCAUACUCUUGAGGUGAGGGAAUUUUCUCAAUUUUUUGCUAAAAGUAUUAGAGUCAAUUGAGAAAAUUUUCCAAUAAUUAAUUACUUGGUAAAAUUUUAAGGCUCUUGGAUAACACAAAUUUAAGCUGGUACCAUCUUUUGAUGGGCGUUGUGAGGUUGCUAUAACCUUCCUCACACGUAAUCGAACUCCCGAACCCUAUUCUGGUUUGUAGACCUGAACCUAUUCUUCUAGGGACCCUUAAACUUAGGUGUUCCCUAAAAGGACAGAUUCCAUAGGUGGCCAAUCGCACCUAGAUAAAAAAGAUUGGUGGCGACUCCCUAAAAGUCAAUGUCUAGCGAUAGAUCCCCGGAUCUAGACGUUAUGACAAUAUUAAUUUAAAAUAUAUUACUCUAAAAAUUUAUUGAUGAAUAUAUAAGAAUUUAAAGAUUCAAAAUGGGGACAACAAAAAUCAAGACCUGCUUAUGAAGUCAAAAAAAUUAUUUUGGGAAAAGAUUUUUUGAAAAAAAAAAUAGGCGAUAUAAUAAAAGUUUAUGAGCUUUUGGUAAAAGUGUUGUGCAUUGUGGAUGGUUAUGAAAAACCAACAAUAAGCUUUAUUUACGAGGCUGUGGAUAGAGCUAAACAUGUAAUUCAAUAAAAUUAUUGUUAUUCUGUUGAAUAUGAAAAGAUUAUUGACAAUAUAUGGAGUUUUAUGCAUUCUGACUUGCAUUUAGCUGGUAAGUAAACUAAGAAUAUAGAUGGUAUUUAAAAAAUAUGUUUAUUUUUUAUACUUAAAUUGCUUAUAUAUUUAUUUUUAUUACUUUAAUAUAAUAUUGUUAUGAAUUAUGUUUAGGUUACUAUCUAAAUCCACAAUUUCAAUUUGGAAUAGAACAUUCUGCAAAUGUAUUUUAAGAAACAUUAGAAGGUAUAAAAAUAGUUAUUGAAAUAUUAGAACCUUUAAUAGAUACUCAAAUAAGAAUGAUUAAUCAGGUUAGUAUUUAAUAUUAUUUUAUAACUUUAACAUUUAUUUUAUGUAUUAAAAAUUAAAUUAUUUUUUAUUUAUUCAUUUGUUAUUGUAUUUUCAAUCGAUGUAGUUGUUAUUAUUUCAAGACAAGCAUGAAACAUUUGGUACUCCACAAACACAAAGAGCUUAGAAGCAAAUAAAUUCAGGUAAAUAGUAAAUUAAAUAAUUAUAAUUUAUUUAUGUUAUUUAAUUAUAUAGCACAUUGAAAUUUAAUUUAAAUAAUUUUAUAUAGCUGAAUGGUAGAUGAUAUACGGUACUUGUGUUCUUGAAUUACAAAAACUAGCAAUCAAAGCGCUUAGUCAAACAACAUCUGCAUCAAAUUGUGAAUGUAAUUGAAGCACAUUUAGCUAUAUUCACACCAAAGCAAGAAACAGAUUGAAGUUUGAAAGACUUCAGAAGCUUAUAUAUACCUAUUAUAACAUGAAGUUGAGGAUGAGACAUCAGAAAAGAAUAAGCAUUGAUCUGAUAAAUAAUAAGUUUAAUCCUAUUAGCUUUGACCAUAUUUUUGAAGAUGAUGAUCCACUAACAAAAUGGUUGUAAAGAGAAAGAAAAUCCUCUAUUAGAUGGUCAAAACUCUGAUUGGCUGCCUGCAGAUAAUUCUGAUAAUGAAAUAAAUAUUGAACAAUCACGUCAAUCUCAAUAAAAGAAUGUGUCUCAUUCAAGUUUAAGUCCAACACCAAGUCAAAGUGAUGAUAGUGGUGGUUUAAAUCCAGAUUGUCAUAACGUCUAGAUCCGAAGAUCUAUCGCUAGACAUUGACUUUAGGGAGUCGCCACCAAUCUUUUUUAUCUAGGUGCGAUUGGCCACCUUAAGAAUAUGUCAUUUCAGGGAACACCUAAGCUUAAGGGUCCCUAAAAGAAUAGGUUCGGGUCUGCUAACCAGAACAGGGUUCGGGAGUUCGGUUACGUGUGAGGAAGGUUAUAGCACCCUCACAACGCCCAUCAAAAGAUGGUACCAGCAUAAUUUUGUGUUAUCUAAUAAGCCUUAAAAUUUUACCAAGUAAUUAAUUAUUGGAAAUUAUUGUCAAUUGACUCUAAUACUUUUAGUAGAAAAUUGAGAAAAUUCCCUCACCUCAAGAGUAUGCAAAAAAAACUACUGUUUCACUUGCAGAGGCUCCGUCGUCGGAUUAAUUAAGGAAAAAUGAAAAUCAAAAUCAAAAUAGAAAGGAAGGAAAUGAUGAUUGUUCUUAUGUAGGGAAAAUUGAUACUUUCAACUUUUCCCCAAAAAUUAUUUUUUUGAAAUUUAUUUUUUAAGGAAAAUUGAUACUUUCAACUUUUCCUCAAAAAUAUUUUUUUUUGAAACUUUGAUUUCCAAGAAAAAUUGAUACUUUCAACUUUUCCUCAAAAAUCUUUUUUUUGAAAAUUUAUUUUUAAGGAAAAUUAAUACUUUCAACUUUUUUCCAAAAAUAUUUUUUAGAAAUUUAUUUCUAAGGAAAAUUGAUACUUUCAACUUUUCCUCAAAAAUAUUUUUUUGAUUUUUAUUUAAAGAAUAUAAAACAAAAUAAAAGUAAAAGUAAAUAAAGAAGAAAAAAAUAAAAAGAAAAGUAAAACAAAAAUAAAAAUAAGAUAAAGAUAAAAAAUAUUAAAUAAAUCUAAUCUAAUAAAUAAAAAAAUAGAAAAACAAAUAAACAAAUAAAUGAAAAUAAAAAAAAUUCAAAAAAAAAAACCUGGAGCGGCUCGAAUCGCGGCUCGGCUCGGCUCAACUCAAGGAAAAGAAAACGACUCGAGGGGCGGCUUGGGAAGCUCAGCUUGGCUUGGAGGGGGGCAGGCACGCGCCGGUCAGAAAGCGGGUCGACGCUCGAGUCGGGUCGGGUUUCGACAAAACGCGCGGAUCCUCUGGUUACUUAAUGCCAAAACGAUGACGUUUUGAGAAGGUAUAAAAAGCACUUCCCUCUAUUUUUCGACAGAACGCUCCUCCCCUCUCUCUCUCUUCUUCCUUUUUCCUCUCUCCUCUCUCUAAAGGGCCUGAAGAACACCGAUAAAAUUUUCGUCGGAUUCUGGAAAAAGUCAACGGAAUCUGGAAAAUUCACCGGAUGUUCGUCGAAAGUUUGCCGGAAGAUCAUCGGUUUCUGAGAUUGUUGGCCGGGAACUGGACAGGUCACCGAAAACUUCAAGGUUCACCUAAAUUGUUACCGAAAAAUUCAAAUGUCACUGGAAUUUUCGUCGAAAUCUAAAAAUUUCUCAGAAAUUUCCAGAAAAAAUUUUCGCCAAAAAUUUCUAAAAAAUUAUUUCUGAUCCCUACAGCUAUCCUAACUCUUCUCAACCUUCUUUAGCCUUCGAAAACUCUUCUAUACACCUCUUUUCUCUCAAAUUCAGUAGCUUUACUCACUGUUUUCUCUGUGUCCGGCAUCUGUUCUAGGAGGUCCCUUUUAUUGGGAUUGAUCAGGAGUUUCUGAUCAAUCCCAAUUCCUCCUUGGACGGGGAUUUAAUCUUUGAAUCCAAUUGGACUCUUUUGAUUGAAUCCUCAUUCCCAGUAGGAUUCUUCACCCUUCAAUCUCAGCCCUCCAAAAAUCAAAUAAAAAAAACUAGAUAAUUAGAAAAGAUAAAUAAAAAAUUAUUAUAGGAUAAAUAAAAAAUAAUAAUAUCAGAUAUAUAAUUAGAUAAAUAAAAAUACAAAAAUAAAUAAAAUAAAAGAUAAAAAAAUAAUAAACAUAUAUAUAUAUAUUAGUAGUAAUACAUAAAUAAUAAAAUACAUAGGAUAUACAUAAAAUAUAAAAUAAAAUAAAAAUAAAAAUAAAAAUGACAAAGAUAAAAUUGAACCUACCUAUUUGGACCAAGCCCAAUUGAUCCGAGCCUGGAUCAAAUUGGGUAUCUACACCUACCUAUUUGGGCCAGGCCCAAUUGAUCCGGGCCUGGACCAAAUUGGGUGUCUACACAGAUGAUGAUGAUGAUGGUAAUGGUGAUGGUGAUGGAGAUGGUGAUGGUGCGAAUUUUGAUGAUAAUAUGGAUGCAAAUCGACCUUACAACCCACAUGGAGGAGAAUUUAGGUUUACUGCUACUGGUGGACUUUUCAUUAAUAUGGCAGAAUAUGAAGUAAAUUCAUUUGCUGAAUCUAGUGAGGAUCAAAGUACACGUACAACUCGAUCAAAAGGAAAAGUUAAAAAGUACCACUAUGAUAUUUUUAAAGGUUCUUCAUCUUCAGGUGAGAGACCAAAUUUUAGUAACUUUUAGUAUAGUAAAUUAUCUGCUAGUGCUUAAGGACAUUGCUAUCCACUGAAACAACUUGAUUUUCGAUCUUCUCAUGGUUAUCCACCUCCAUAUGGUUAUUAUCCACCUCAAAUGUAUCCUCCACCUCAAAUUUAUCAUUUACCACAAAUGUAUCAUCCUUAAAUAUAUCAUCCACCUCAAAUAUAUCAAGAACAAAGACCUUAGGGAUGGAGAUGAAGUUAACUUGGCUCUCAAAGUGAAGAUAGAGAAUCUGAUCUUCCUCGUCAUUCUACCAUGUGGUAAAAUUUAAAAUAUAUAUUAAUAAUUGUAGUUGAUGGAAUUUGAAAUUAUUAUAUUUUUAAGUUUGUAAUUUUAUUAAAUAUAAAUGCUUGGUAUUUAACAUAUUAUGUUUUGUUAAUAUUUGAUUUGUCUAGAAUUAAUAUUGAAUAUGAACUUGGCCAAGAAAAAUUUUGUGGAUAAACCAAAUAUGAAUGCUUUUUAUAAUCUAAAUAAAAUUGUGAAUAAUUUUUUUAGAAAAUAAAAAACAUAGAGUGUCAUAAAUUAUUUUUAAAAUCAUUGAAUAAUAGUUUUUAUUAUUAUAAUUAUAAUUAUUAUAUUUUAUAAUAAAUUAUGCAAAAAAAAAAAAUUCACGACCUUGAUGACCACAAUGAGCGCAAUAAUUUUUGUUAUAUCCGAAAAUGAGAUAAACAAGACACGAACGAAAAUAUGAUCACGAUCGUUAUUUAAAUCCCUAAUCUACACUACAUGAUGUCCUCUGCUUUUCACUGCACAUCAUUCUUUCCGUGGGGUUCUUUUUCCUUCUUUUCCUGUAACACAUAUCCCCAUGGUAUAACAUUAUCAAAAUGCUUACUACAAAUUAAUUUGAGCUUCUUUAACCUGAUCCUAAAGACUUCAUAGAAUGUUUUUCCUGAGUGAAACUAUCGGUUGCAGUGCUACUGCUCAUGCCUAGUGAAAUUAAAUGCAAAGGUGCUUGAAUUAUGCCUCGUUGGAGUUAAAAAGUAGAAAGUGUUUGACAAAUUAAGUAUGUGAUAUGAUCAUUUACUUAUAAGUGUUGAGACAAAUUUCAAAUAUAAGUUUAGCGAUAAGACAUUGAUUAAACGACCUAAAGGUUCUCACUUCUGUUAACUACAAGAGAGAUAAGGAAUUUACAAAUUUGAUGGUUGAAACUAAAAAACUAAGAACUAAGCUAAACUAAAUUUAAGAAAAGUUUGAAAAGAUUAAAAGAAUUUAACUCUUCUUCUUCUUCAAAAUUUAUUUUUUAUAUUAGGUUGAAGGCUUUUUAUAGUCUUCUCAUGUGUAAUUUGCAGUUGGACAUUAUUCUACAAUCCUGAAAGUGCUAAAUGUCGGUUGAUAACCAUUCAUGAUUUCUUGAAACUUCAAACUUGAAAAAAAAAAAAACACACACACACACGCAUAAAAGAAGAGAAAAUUAAGGUGUUGAAUUUGGCAUCCUAACAUCCAAUUAAGGACAUAAUUAUUAACACUUGAAAUUCUCAAGUUUGGCUUUUCUAAUUUGUUUUAGUUGGCUAGAGUUGUCGGAAUUUGUCUUGAUAACAUUGUUUUUUUCUAAUGGACAAUAUCAGAGGCACUCAUCUGGUAGCUUUUUCUAAUUUGUCACAUGCUUUUAUUUUCAGCUUGGACAUCUAAGUCCAAAUUUUUAAAGGUUAAAGUCUAUUAAUUAAGCUUACUAAUUAACUAAGUAAAAUUUAAUGACAAUAAGACAUUAGUUCAACGACAAGAAGAAAGUUCUAGAAUUUGAAGAUCUUAGGAUCAAAUUCCACUAUAUGUGGAUUUGAUUGUCCAAUUAUGUUCUAACUUAUUUGUUGAUUAUUCAAUGACUGAAACUUAAUUAUAUUACAAUAGUUAAUUAUAUAAUUAUAAUAUUUGAUUAUGAUUGUAACAAUUAAGAAAAUAAUAAAAACUUAAUCAAAGCUGUAAACUUUUUAAAUAAUAUAAUAUAUUGUUUAAUUCAAAAUGCUUAUUAAAUAAUUAAAUAAUCAUUAAAUAAUUUGUUAAUUACAAAAUUAUAUAUUUGUAUAAUAUAUAUAUAUAUAUAUAUGUAUAAGUGUUCAGCUUUGGGAAGUAAAUCUCUAUAUUCAAGUAAAUUUAUUUUUUUAUCAAGAUUAAAUUUUAAAUAAUUUAUUCUUUUAUAUAUCUGAAUAUUAAUUUACUCAAAUAAUGUUAAAAAUAAGUCAUUCAUUAUUUUUUCACAUCAUGUUCAUUGGAAACACUUUAUUCUCUCACAACAAUUUUUCAUAGCAAUGCCAAAUAUUCUAAAAUUUUAAACCAUAAUUUCUCAGUAUUUUUGCACAAUACUUGUCAUAUACACUUUUUUUAAAUAAAAUUUGUUUUCCAAGAUUGAGAAUCAACAUACUCGGAUAUGUAUGCUUAGCAAAAAAUUUUUACUUUUAAGCUUCCCUUGGUGAGCAAGCAGCUUACAUAACUCGACAAAAAAGCGGUAACGCCGGCCCAUGUUAGCAAAAGGAUUGGGGGCAAGCAGCAGUUCCGCUAGCCCAUGUUAGGCAGCCUUUCUCGCCCAUGGCCCUUCCUAUCUGUUAACUUCCACUUCCAAAGGGCCGAAGUCUUUUCUUGCGAGCUUCAACAAUUGAAAAUUUCCGAAGUCUUUUCUUGCAAGCUUCAACAAUUGAAAAUUUUAAGUUCCUUUUUUCUAUUUGUCACCUACUCAAAAUUCUUACAAUCUUCAGCAAAUUUCGUUUUUGUUAGUAAAAAUUAAUUAAUAAAAGCAUUAAACUCCACUUAUUUGCUAAAGAUUUAUCACCGGCGUUUAUGUUGAUUAAGGAAACACUUAUUUCAGAUUUUUUUUUUGGUUCGAAUAUUUCAGAUCGUAGUCCUUUUAAUUUCAGUGUUUUCUAAUAAUAAAUUUAACAGUAAUCAUAAUCUAAUAUUGAGAGUACCACAAAGUAUAAAUGUUUGUUUGUAUUGCAUUCAUUAAUCAAUCGAGCAAAGCCAAAAGCUCCAGGCUGUUCGUGAUCACGUGUAAAGUUGAGCAACGCGGACGGAAUUGAAUAUUUAUGAGGGAGAAGGCGACUGGAGAAUUGACAAAAGAGAUGGAAUUGGGUUACCCCUUUUCUUUCACAAAUUUACAAAAUUCUCGUUCGUCAUAAAUCUCCGUCGAUUUAUGACCAUGAAACAUAAUAGAAAACAACAAAUGAAGUUAUAAACAUCUUGAAUAAUAAUUAAAAAAAAAAAACAGAACGUGAGAAACUUUUGUUUUUUUAUUUAAAAGAUAAAAAUAUUUUUAAUUAUAAUAUAAUAAUUAUGUAAAUUUUUAAUAUUUUAUUACAAUCAAUUAAAUUUUUUAUUUUUUAUUUUAAUUUAAUUGAAUCCUUAAUCGGACAAAUUUUAAUCAUGUAAAAAUUAAAUCAAAUAAUAUCGAAUUACAAUAAAUAAAUUCUUAAAAAGAUUUUAGAGAUCACAAAAGAGAAAAUAGUAAAAGAAAAAGAAAAAGAUUAUUUGUUGUUUUCUCAUAGUUGAAGCAAGAUCAAGAUCCUGCAGCUGUGAGAGGUCAUCCUGCAUGGAUCGAGCAAGUUGUGAGUACAGCGAGUUGCAUCCUAAAAAUUGAAUCUCAUAAUUAUGCAAAGCAAGACUAAGGAAAACUUUGUCCAAAAUUAAAGUUCUCCUCAACAUUAUGGAAUAAGGAGUGCAUGUGUGUAUACGUGUAUUUGGCAUCCAAAAAUGCAAAUCCUUGCCAAUCAACAACCAAAUCCAAUGUAUCAAUGCCAUCAUUAAGUUAUAUAACUCUCUCUCCCAUCAAUUCAUUGAAGGCCAAAAGUGUAAUUUAGCAAAAAAUAAAAGGGAACUCAAAAUAAAGUAAAAGCAAGAAAAUAAACAUUGAAAAUGCUUCAAAAUUUCGAAUUUUACACACCUCUGUAGCAAAAAGCAAGCUAGUGCACUCAUCUGUAUUAGGUAAGAAGUCUCCAUAUAGUUGCCAAAAGUUAUCAUCCCUAUCAAAUGCAUACAGAAGAAGGCAUGCCAAUCUCAGAUCCCAAUCCGUCUGCCAAGAAAGAUACCCAUAAAUUACAGCAAAGAACAGAAGGAUCAGUGUUGUUAUACAAGUUAAGUAGCGUGCUAGUGCAUUCACCAAAUUGAAUAAUAAAUGCAUAAAUACUUAUAUGAUAAUUAAGUGCUUGAUAUAAAGGAAAAUUUCAAUUACCUCAGGAUUGGUUGCGUUUAUGAUAUCAAAUAUGGGAUGACCUAUUGGAACUAUAUCAGGGAAGAACAUCCAUGGCAGCUUCUGCCUUACUGUCAACAUCAAUUCUAAAGGUUCCAUGAUAAUCUGCUCAGUCAAGUGCAGAAGCAUAGUAACCAACACGCACAUAUAUAUAUGUAUAUAUUCAUAGAAGUAUAACUAGUACAACAUUUGUUAGGAUGCAAAUACAUAAUAAUAAUAAUAAAAAUGAUAACAAUGCAGGAAAGUGGCGAAGCAGGCAGGAAGGGAGAAGCAUGAGAAUGGAAAAAGUUACUUUGACUUAUCUAAAUUGGGACAAUAAGUGAGAAAUAAUAAGGUAGAAAGGUAGAAACAGACUCUGGCACGACGAAGAGGCUCAACAUCUUUGGAGGCAUAGACUCCAAAACCGUCUGGUCCUUCCUUAAACUCAAUUCCAUAAGCUCUCAUACUUCGAACAUAACCUAUCUUGUAGAAAUCAGGGUGGGUCUGCAGGCUCCAACUGUGAGGAAAAGGGUAAAAGUAGCAAAGGGAGGGGAAGGUGUUAAACACCCAAAAAACAAAAGUAAUAAAAGCAUAGGGGUAGGGGAUUGAAAACCCAUAAGCAUUUACCUGAGAGGGAGAUUCUUGAAGUGGGGGAGGCUGAAAGAGUGGAAAAGGAGGAGUUUCCACGGAAGCAUUAAUGGGUUUCAAACGAUACGUGGAUCUUGGUGUCGGUGACCACUCAUGACCACGACUAUAACCAUGAUGAUAUUCCCUUUCCCGGCGAGAAUAGCUGAAGUGCCCAAUGAUAUGAUGAAGGGGAACAGUUGAGAUCGCCAUUGGUCAUUGGAGACAACGGGAGAGCGAGUCUAUUGGAGUUUAAAACGGAACCAUGGUGGCAAGACUGGCAGUGGACUACUCCGGUGUUGCCGUUCUCUUUAGUUAGGAUAAGAAGCUCGACUCAAGUCCAAACCCAAAACUCGAAAAACAUUAUCCGAUCGCAAUCAGGGACCAGACUGCAUAGCAGGGUGCAAAACGUAUGAGGCAACCGGCAGUCCGGCCUAGCCCAUGAUUAGCUAGCCUUUCUCACCGGAUGGGCCCCAACUAUCCUGUUAACUUCCACCUCCAAGCCUGAUUUUCUUUUUUUUUUUUAACGAGCUUUAUCAAUUUAAAAAUUGAAGAUUAUUUAUAUUGUCACACAAAAUUUACAAAUUAUUUUAUACCAAGAAAUUCACCAAAUUUAAAUUUACCAGAAAUUUAUUUAUGAGAGAGAAGAAAAGAAGCUUAUAUGAACAUGGUAAAAAAAAAAUAAUAUGAUUUAAAAUUUUAAUAAAAUUAAAAUUAUAUUUUAUAUUUUAUAUAAUAUAAAUUAUAUAAGUAUUUUAUAAAAUAUGAAUAAUAAAAUCCUAAUAUUAUAUAAAUACACAAAUUACGGUUUAGCUGAAAUAAAAAAUUGUAAUUUGGGCUAAAAGGGAAGAAAUGUUUAUGGGAGCUGCGCCAUUUACUAAGAUGCUAAUGGCUGAUGAUGAGCUUUGGUCACAGUCCAAGGCGAUCGCACUCAUUUGCUACCAACUAAACUGUGAUUUCCCAUCCCUCCACUUCAAGAGCUGCACUAGAUGAAGAUAAUGCUGACGAUAAAUGUAACACAGACAUAUGUCAUCAGAGUAUUGCAUCUUACAUAAAAGUAACACUAUAGAAUUUAAAUCAUUUCAAAUGUUUCCAUAUUCUAAUUAAGAAAAAAUUAAUGAUCUAAUUUGUAUUUUUUUAAUAAUAAAUUUCGACUCUUACGAAUUUAGAUUGGGUUGAUAUCAAAUUGAAGCUUAUAACGUUAUAGUUAAUUCGAAUUUAGUCGAAAUUGAGUUAAAAUUUCUUUUAAUGGUCUUCGAAUUCAAUAAAUUUUUUUGUUCUAUUUUUUUGUCUAUAUAUAUAUAUUGAAGUAUUUUAAAAUUAUAUCAUUUUUUAAUAUUUUAAAUUAUUUUUAUAUUUUUAUAAUUUUUUUACAUUAAAAAUUAUAAAAUUUUAAUUUCCAAAAAUUGAUUUUAAUAUAUAAAAAUAUAUUAAAUCAAAAUUUUAAAAAUUAAUAAAUAACAAAUAUUUUAAGAUAAAAAGAAUAUUAUUUUAUCAUCUCUAAUCGUACAACAUCAAAUAUAUUGGUGUAACUGAUAACCAAGUGGCUUAGGAAUUCUUCUUUAAUUUUUUUUUCCUUAGCACUGUCAUCCAUAAGAAAUUUCUGCAUAGCACUUUAUCAUCCAGAGAACUCCAUGAAAUUUUAGGUAGAAACCUACCAGCAAACGAACGCGGUUCUGACUUGUAGUUGUAUAAGAUAAAACAAAAAUAAUCAUUUUUGCUUUAAGUAAAAUGAGUGAUGAUAAUGGGGCACCGACAGUGUAAAUUGGCAGGCUUUCUACGCCAGACCACACAAUGUAAUAAUUGAUUGCUUCAUAAAAUUAGUCUAUUCCUAUAAUUGAAAAUACUCCUACUUUUUGAAUUUUACACUAAGCAAUCGACUGCCUUGGGACAGAUGUUCGUUGGAACCUUCGAUUGAAGGGACACUAAGGGUUUUGAUGAUUGGAUCCCCUACUGAGCUGCGGGAUGUUAUCUUUCGGUGCAUUUGACCCGGUAGAAUCCAAAUUAAACCUAAAACAUAGGAGAAAACUGAAAAGGAAAAGAUGCAUAACCCUCCACCACCAGACCCCCAUCAUCCACACCACCCACCACCCUGUGCACCACCUCCUAGUUCCCAAGCGCCACCACUAGACCGUCCUGAGCCACGCAAAUCGAGUCCAUAUAUAAUUCCCACUGCUAAUCAUAUAUAUGGCUUGGAGGCAUUGCAUAUUAUGUAGCAAUGAUUCAUAGUUUGUGGUUCUUUACUGAUGUACUCUUCUAACCAUUAGUUGGACACAGGUUCAUAUUUUCGUAGCUUGUUUUUUACUUAAUUUGCAAGCAGAGAUGGAUUUACACUGGGGGCAGUGGGGGCAACCGCCCCCAUUGAAAUCCUAAAAUCCUUUUUAAGUAUAUUAAAAUACUUGACAAAUAUAUUUACAUUUCUCUCUUUCUAUUUGCAAACUUUAUUUUUUAGCUUAUGUGAAAUAUUAUUGUAAAAAUGUCGAAAUCAAACAUAAAAUGAUAAAAUAUUUGUAAAAAAAAAAUACAAUUAAAGCUAAAAUAAUCUUGUAUAGUAAAAUAUAGAUAAUGGCUAAAAUAAAACUACAACAAAACACUCAUAAUAUACAAAUUUAUUUUUAAAAUAUCAAAUUACUUUUUUCUCUUGUUGUUUUUCUUUUAUAUUGAUAAUGUGGUAAGGUAUUUAUUUAAUAUUAGUUAAAAUUUUUAAUAAUAUAUAUUUGACGUAAAACAAUGUUGUAUAGAUGUAUUUUAACAAAGUUGUAGAGAUGUAAUCUAACAAUCUAAAAUUUAGAAAAAAAAAAAAAAAACUAGCAUCAAUUUUAAAAUUAUUCAAAAAAGUUAAAAUAUCUAUAAAACUAUAUAUCAUGUUGUUGGUCUUAUUUUGUAUUUUCAUAUCUUAUCUUAUGUCUUAUAAACUAUAGAGAAACUAAAUUAAUAUUUGAUUUAAAUUAGUUAAGGACAAACAUCAUUAGCAAGAGAAAGUAAAUUUUAAAGAAAAUAUUGAAAUCGAAUAAAUAUAUAUAUUAAUAUUGAUAAUGAAAAAAACAAUCUUACAUUUUUUAUCUAUGAAAACUAUUUAACUCAAUCAUAUAGUGCUAUUUUCAUUUGAAAAAUAAUAAUAUUACGUGUUUAUGUUUAUUUGAUAUUUAAAUAUUCGAUGUAUUUAAUAUUAUAAAAUUUUGUUAUAUUUAUGUUAAUUUUUAUUUAAAUUUUGUAUAUAUUUGAUAUUGUAAGAAAUAUUUUAAAUUUUUUUAUUAAAAGUUCAUUUUACAUUUAAAAAAUAUUAUCUUUACAUUAAAAAAAUUUAAGUAAAUAUAUUAUAUAAUAAAUUUACUCCCACCGAAAAAAUAUGUUGAAUCCGUCCCUGUUUUCAAGUGACAAAGUAUGAUGUAAUACAAAGUAGCACAUUUCCUUCUAUCUAUUGCUGUCUGGUCUGUACAUCAUGGGCAUAUAUAUAUAUAUAUAAUUUUUUUUUCUUUCUUUGAUGUUGUUCAUUAUUUGCUUGUAAUUAUUAAUUUUGGUUUCUUUUACUAUCCUUUUAUGUCUAAAUAAUUGAAUAUAUAUUAUUUUAAUUUUGGUCUCUGGAAUUGGGAAUGCUUAAUUAUUUGAGCAAAGGCAUGGGAGAUGUGUAAUAUGCCUCACUAACCAUUUAUACUAUUUACUUGAUUUGAUAUCAUAUAUAACUCAAGCAUUUACUUCAAAUGUAUUUUAUAUAAUUGGUUAUGAUUGGACAAAAAAACAAAAACGGUAGAUAAACAUUGGACUGGGAUUGAAGACACGGAUUCAGCUUAUAUAUAUGAUACCAAUUGAUUAUUUUUUAAAUAAAUCAAAGUUGAGGGUAAACGUUUUGUUAAUAAAAUUUUAGAUAAGAAAAUAUAUAUUUCAUACAGAAAAGAAAGAGAAUCUAAUUUUUAUUCAUGAUCUUUAAAUGAAUUAAAAAAUUUCUUGACCUCAUCGUGUGAAUGGAGAAUAAUAACCACAAAAAAGCUCGUAGCACUAGAAAUAAAAUAUCUCAAACAAAAGAACAUGCCGACAACGUGCAACUAUGCAUUAACGGGCCUCCGAGUAAAGUUCUUAUCAUAACCUUAUCUUCAAAUCUAGGACUCAAGCACUAGUAAAUUCAAUAGUCUUGUUAAAGAGUUUCACCACACCAAGAAGUUAAGAAGAAUACCAGCAACAAAAGUAGAGAAGAGAAGAUGCAUCAUCCUCACGGACCUCCUCAGCAUCAGGGUCCUCCUCCUCCCGGUUCCGAAGGACCUCCACCGGGAGGUCCGGGUCAUCAUGGACCUCCACCAGGUGGUCCGGGUCACCAAGGACCUCCACCGGGAGGUCCGGGUCACCAAGGACCUCCACCGGGUGGUCCAGGUCACCAAGGACCUGCACCAGGACAACAUGGACCUCCAUCGGGUGGGCCAGGUCACCAUGGUGGCCACGGCGGCCAUGGCGGGCACUGCUAAGCAGGUGCAUGGUUUGGUAGGGUUAUAUAAAUGUUAGUUUGCUGUAAUAAAAGGUAUUAGAGAGGAAUAAGGAUCAUCAAGUGCUUGAUCAGAUAAGAACUAUGCCCUUACAUUACUUGUAUCAUGUGUUUUUUGAGGUAUGCCGUGAAAAGUGGGAAGCCUGACUUGAUCUUUGUACUGAUGUUUUUCUAAGUUCUAUCUUCUAUGUAUGUUAAUCAAAUAAAUUAUAUAUGGGAGUAGUUCCAUAUCUACACUACACGAUGUCCUCUGCUUUUCACUGCACAUCAUUCUUUUCGUGGGGUUCGUUUUCCUUUUUUUCCUGUAACACAUAUCCCCAUGGUAUAAAAUUAUCAAAAUGCUUACUACAAAUUAAUUUGAGCUUCUUUAACCUGAUCAUAAGGCCUUCAUAAAAUGUUUUUCGUGAGUGAAACCAUCGGUUGCAGUGCUACUGCUCAUGCCUAGUGAAAUUAAAUGCAAAGGUGCUUGAAUUAUGCCUCUUUGGAGUUAAAAAGCAGAAAGUGUUUGACAAAUUAAGUAUGUGAUAUGAUCAUUUACUAAUAUAUAAGUGUUGAGACAAUUUUCAAAUGUAAGUUUAGCAAUCUGACAUUGAUUAAACGAUGUAAAGGUUCUCACUUCUGUUAACUACAAGAGAGGUAAGGAAUUUACAAAUUUGAUGGUUGAAACUAAAAAACUAAGAACCAAGCUAAACUAAAUUAAAGAAAAGUUUGAAAAGCUUAAAAGAAUUUAACUCUUCUUGUUCUUGUUGUUCUUUAAAAAUUAUUUUUUAUAUUAGGUUGAAGGCUUUUUCUAGUCUUCUCAUGUGUAAUUUGCAGUUGGACAUUAUUCUACUAUCCUGAAAAUGCUAAAUGUUGGUUGAUAACCACUCAUGAUUUCUUGAAACUUCAAACUUGCAAAAAAAAAAAAAAACACACACACACACACAUAAGAGAAAAGAAAA